Molecule: regulatory RNA element, 121 nt
Rfam family: Ribosomal protein L10 leader
About the family: This family is a putative r-protein leader autoregulatory structure found in B. subtilis and other low-GC Gram-positive bacteria. It is located in the 5' untranslated regions of mRNAs encoding ribosomal proteins L10 and L12 (rplJ-rplL). A Rho-independent transcription terminator structure that is probably involved in regulation is included at the 3' end.
Source: Rfam
AUUUAAGAAUAUUUUCUACCUAAGACUCAGGUGACGUAAGUCUCAAUAUCCUGCCGAGGCCAGAUGAUAACUGUCAAGUUAACCUCUGUGUCUUUGGACACAGAGGUUUUUAUUUGGUAAU